UACGUAGGGUGCAAGCGUUGUCCGGAAUUAUUGGGCGUAAAGAGCUCGUAGGCGGCUUGUCGCGUCGGCUGUGAAAACCUGGGGCUCAACCCCGGGCCUGCAGCCGAUACGGGCAAGCUAGAAUUCGGUAGGGGAGACUGGAAUUCCUGGUGUAGCGGCGAAAUGCGCAGAUAUCAGGAGGAACACCGGUGGCGAAGGCGGUUCUCUGGGCCAUUACUGACGCUGAGGAGCGAAAGCGUGGGGAGCGAACAGG
RNAcentral lists this ribosomal RNA (253 nucleotides) under uncultured bacterium. Its description in RNAcentral is "partial 16S ribosomal RNA". It matches the Rfam family "Bacterial small subunit ribosomal RNA", at positions 524 to 776 of the family's 1533-position model. The record is from RNAcentral.